UGCCAGCAGCCGCGGUAACACGAACCGUACGAACGUUAUUCGGAAUCACUGGGCUUAAAGGGUGCGUAGGCGGCUCGGUAAGUUGGGUGUGAAAUCCCUCGGCUCAACCGAGGAAUUGCGCUCAAAACUGCCGGGCUUGAGGGAGACAGAGGUGAGCGGAACUCAGGGUGGAGCGGUGAAAUGCGUUGAUAUCCUGAGGAACACCAGUGGCGUAAGCGGCUCACUGGGUCUCUUCUGACGCUGAGGCACGAAAGCUAGGGUAGCGAACGGGAUUAGAUA
This 279-nucleotide ribosomal RNA is filed under the name uncultured bacterium. Its description in RNAcentral is "partial 16S ribosomal RNA". It matches the Rfam family "Bacterial small subunit ribosomal RNA", at positions 506 to 784 of the family's 1533-position model. The record is from RNAcentral.